GCUCACCAAGACGACGACGGGUAGCCGGCCUGAGAGGGCGACCGGCCACACUGGGACUGAGACACGGCCCAGACUCCUACGGGAGGCAGCAGUGGGGAAUAUUGCACAAUGGGGGAAACCCUGAUGCAGCGACGCAGCGUGCGGGAUGACGGCCUUCGGGUUGUAAACCGCUUUCAGCAGGGAAGAAGCCNNUCGGGGUGACGGUACCUGCAGAAGAAGUACCGGCUAACUACGUGCCAGCAGCCGCGGUAAUACAAA
RNAcentral lists this ribosomal RNA (258 nucleotides) under uncultured bacterium. RNAcentral describes it as "partial 16S ribosomal RNA". It matches the Rfam family "Bacterial small subunit ribosomal RNA", at positions 263 to 529 of the family's 1533-position model. The record is from RNAcentral.